GACCCAGACCGUGGUGAUUUGGCCGGCCGGCUUGCAGCCACGUAAAACAACUCGCUAAAGGGCCGCUGCGUUCACAAU
RNAcentral lists this non-coding RNA (78 nucleotides) under Hyphomicrobiales bacterium. The record is from RNAcentral. Lineage: Bacteria; Pseudomonadati; Pseudomonadota; Alphaproteobacteria; Hyphomicrobiales.